AACGAACGCUGGCGGCAGGCCUAACACAUGCAAGUCGAGCGAGGACUUCGGUUCUAGCGGCGGACGGGUGAGUAACGCGUGGGAAUGUGCCCUUCUCUACGGAAUAGCCCUGGGAAACUGGGAGUAAUACCGUAUACGCCCUAUUGGGGAAAGAUUUAUCGGAGAAGGAUCAGCCCGCGUUGGAUUAGGUAGUUGGUGGGGUAAUGGCCUACCAAGCCGACGAUCCAUAGCUGGUUUGAGAGGAUGAUCAGCCACACUGGGACUGAGACACGGCCCAGACUCCUACGGGAGGCAGCAGUGGGGAAUCUUAGACAAUGGUGGCAACCCUGAUCUAGCCAUGCCGCGUGAGUGAUGAAGGCCUUAGGGUUGUAAAGCUCUUUCAGCUGGGAAGAUAAUGACGGUACCAGCAGAAGAAGCCCCGGCUAACUCCGUG
RNAcentral lists this ribosomal RNA (433 nucleotides) under uncultured bacterium. RNAcentral's name for it is "partial 16S ribosomal RNA". It matches the Rfam family "Bacterial small subunit ribosomal RNA", at positions 29 to 507 of the family's 1533-position model. The record is from RNAcentral.